UUGAAGAGUUUGAUCAUGGCUCAGAUUGAACGCUGGCGGCAGGCCUAACACAUGCAAGUCGAGCGGUAGCACAGAGAGCUUGCUCUCGGGUGACGAGCGGCGGACGGGUGAGUAAUGUCUGGGAAACUGCCUGAUGGAGGGGGAUAACUACUGGAAACGGUAGCUAAUACCGCAUAAUGUCGCAAGACCAAAGUGGGGGACCUUCGGGCCUCAUGCCAUCAGAUGUGCCCAGAUGGGAUUAGCUAGUAGGUGGGGUAACGGCUCACCUAGGCGACGAUCCCUAGCUGGUCUGAGAGGAUGACCAGCCACACUGGAACUGAGACACGGUCCAGACUCCUACGGGAGGCAGCAGUGGGGAAUAUUGCACAAUGGGCGCAAGCCUGAUGCAGCCAUGCCGCGUGUGUGAAGAAGGCCUUCGGGUUGUAAAGCACUUUCAGCGGGGAGGAAGGCGUUAAGGUUAAUAACCUUGGCGAUUGACGUUACCCGCAGAAGAAGCACCGGCUAACUCCGUGCCAGCAGCCGCGGUAAUACGGAGGGUGCAAGCGUUAAUCGGAAUUACUGGGCGUAAAGCGCACGCAGGCGGUCUGUCAAGUCGGAUGUGAAAUCCCCGGGCUCAACCUGGGAACUGCAUUCGAAACUGGCAGGCUAGAGUCUUGUAGAGGGGGGUAGAAUUCCAGGUGUAGCGGUGAAAUGCGUAGAGAUCUGGAGGAAUACCGGUGGCGAAGGCGGCCCCCUGGACAAAGACUGACGCUCAGGUGCGAAAGCGUGGGGAGCAAACAGGAUUAGAUACCCUGGUAGUCCACGCCGUAAACGAUGUCGAUUUGGAGGUUGUGCCCUUGAGGCGUGGCUUCCGGAGCUAACGCGUUAAAUCGACCGCCUGGGGAGUACGGCCGCAAGGUUAAAACUCAAAUGAAUUGACGGGGGCCCGCACAAGCGGUGGAGCAUGUGGUUUAAUUCGAUGCAACGCGAAGAACCUUACCUGGUCUUGACAUCCACAGAACUUUCCAGAGAUGGAUUGGUGCCUUCGGGAACUGUGAGACAGGUGCUGCAUGGCUGUCGUCAGCUCGUGUUGUGAAAUGUUGGGUUAAGUCCCGCAACGAGCGCAACCCUUAUCCUUUGUUGCCAGCGGUCCGGCCGGGAACUCAAAGGAGACUGCCAGUGAUAAACUGGAGGAAGGUGGGGAUGACGUCAAGUCAUCAUGGCCCUUACGACCAGGGCUACACACGUGCUACAAUGGCAUAUACAAAGAGAAGCGACCUCGCGAGAGCAAGCGGACCUCAUAAAGUAUGUCGUAGUCCGGAUUGGAGUCUGCAACUCGACUCCAUGAAGUCGGAAUCGCUAGUAAUCGUAGAUCAGAAUGCUACGGUGAAUACGUUCCCGGGCCUUGUACACACCGCCCGUCACACCAUGGGAGUGGGUUGCAAAAGAAGUAGGUAGCUUAACCUUCGGGAGGGCGCUUACCACUUUGUGAUUCAUGACUGGGGUGAAGUCGUAACAAGGUAACCGUAGGGGAACCUGCGGUUGGAUCACCUCCUU
RNAcentral lists this ribosomal RNA (1536 nucleotides) under Klebsiella pneumoniae. RNAcentral describes it as "bacterial SSU rRNA". It matches the Rfam family "Bacterial small subunit ribosomal RNA". RNAcentral also lists the same sequence under 1 other name. The record is from RNAcentral. Lineage: Bacteria; Pseudomonadati; Pseudomonadota; Gammaproteobacteria; Enterobacterales; Enterobacteriaceae.